CCCCAUUUGGUCUCAGCAGGGCUAUCUUUUUCCUUGUUCUCCUCUUCCCAAGGAUCGGAGGGCACCUUACUUCCCCUAGCAGAGUGGAGGUGGAUGAAGGACAUAAAGGCAGGGGGUGUUGAUCCUAACAGCACUGCCUGCCCGCUGAUCCCGGAGUCUGCUUCCUGGGAUCCAAGCCAUGACUCUUUCACUGAAAUUGCUUUAAGGAGUGGCCUGCUGUCAUUUUUUACUGAGGAAGACAUAAAAACACUUUCUGGUGCUGGAGGCGGGAAAUCUGGUCUACAAGUAACUAGUUGUAUGAUCUAUUCUACAGUUUCACCCAGAUGGAGCUAAAGCCCUCGGAGAAAAUUUCAGCAGCC
Molecule: long non-coding RNA, 359 nt
Filed under: Heterocephalus glaber (naked mole-rat)
Lineage: Eukaryota; Metazoa; Chordata; Mammalia; Rodentia; Bathyergidae
Description: lncRNA (ENSHGLG00000031227.2)
Source: RNAcentral